RNAcentral lists this ribosomal RNA (468 nucleotides) under uncultured bacterium. RNAcentral's name for it is "partial 16S ribosomal RNA". It matches the Rfam family "Bacterial small subunit ribosomal RNA", at positions 28 to 507 of the family's 1533-position model. The record is from RNAcentral.
GACGAACGCUGGCGGCGUGCUUAACACAUGCAAGUCGAACGGAAAGGCCCUGCUUUUGUGGGGUGCUCGAGUGGCGGACGGGUUAGUUACCCGUGAGUAACCUGCCCUUGACUUUGGGAUUAAUUCCGGAAACUGGGGCUAAUACCGGAUAGGAGCUCCUGCUGCGUGGUGGGGGUUGGAAAGUUUCGUCGGUUGGGGAUGGACUGGCGGCUUAUCAGCUUGUUGGCUGGGUAGUGGCUUACCAAGGCUUUGACGGGCAGCCGGCCUGAGAGGGGGACCGGCCACAUUGGGACUGAGAGACGGCCCAGACUCUUACGGGAGGCAGCAGUGGGGAAUAUGGCACAAGGGGCGGAAGCCUGAUGCAGCAACACCGCGUGCGGGAGGACGGCUUUCGGGUUGGAGACGGCUGUCGCCUGUGACGAAGCGUGAGUGACGGUAAUGGGGUAUGAAGCACCGGCUAACUACGUG